AAUUAGAAAGAGAGAAAUCUUACAGGCAAAGGCUAUUCGACAUUUGGGAUUCCUAAGCUAAUCUUUUUAUUUUUGGAAGGGUGUCUUUCUGAGAAAGGCAGCCAGAGGCACAGCACCAACCUUUCUGACAGUGUGGUCUUCACACUGUUAGUUCUGACAAAGGGAGUCAAGGAGUCGUCCUUGGAGGAGGCGAUGAGGCCAGUGGAAGAAUUGUGGCUGGGGACCCCUCCACUGCUGAGGGAGAUGUCGAUGGACUCACAGCUGGUGUGGAGGCUGCUGACAGACUGAAAGCCCAGGCCAUCCUUGCUAACUGCGGAGGAGCUGCUGGCGUUGGUGCCCCAGGGCCAAGACAGCCCCGGCCUCUUACCAGUUCCUGGGGUCUUCAGUGCGCCUGCCGGGGCUGAAGGCUUCGUCCUUGGCAUGGUGAUGCCCACCUGAGCUGUCAUGCCUCGCCGCCAUGAGCCUGUCUGGGAGAUGACAGGAUUCUUCUUGCCCGACGUGCUUUUGUCGGACUCGUCAGACACAUCAGAAGGAUUCCGCCUCCACUUGGAACCUGGCUCCAUUUUUAUGCCGCUGUCUGAGCCUCCGUCUGAUUUCUUGACAUCAUCACCAGACCACAGGGAAUUCCUCUCCACCUGUGAGUGCUUCUCAGCAUCAGUCUGUGGACAGAGACUCUCUGAAUUAGUCCUUCCCCAGUCCCAGGCUGGGAAGCCCCUCACUCCAAAGGCAAAAAUGCCAAAACACUGGAGUAGUUAAGGGAAAAAUAAGCAUUACUUUAAAGAUGUUUGGACUUU
This 794-nucleotide long non-coding RNA is filed under the name Homo sapiens (human). RNAcentral describes it as "HSALNT0361745". The record is from RNAcentral. Lineage: Eukaryota; Metazoa; Chordata; Mammalia; Primates; Hominidae.